UACGUAGGGUGCAAGCGUUAAUCGGAAUUACUGGGCGUAAAGCGUGCGCAGGCGGUUUUGUAAGUCUGACGUGAAAUCCCCGGGCUUAACCUGGGAAUUGCGUUGGAGACUGCAAGGCUGGAGUCUGGCAGAGGGGGGUAGAAUUCCACGUGUAGCAGUGAAAUGCGUAGAGAUGUGGAGGAACACCGAUGGCGAAGGCAGCCCCCUGGGUCAAAACUGACGCUCAUGCACGAAAGCGUGGGGAGCAAACAGG
This 253-nucleotide ribosomal RNA is filed under the name uncultured bacterium. RNAcentral's name for it is "partial 16S ribosomal RNA". It matches the Rfam family "Bacterial small subunit ribosomal RNA", at positions 524 to 776 of the family's 1533-position model. The record is from RNAcentral.